This 402-nucleotide ribosomal RNA is filed under the name uncultured bacterium. Its description in RNAcentral is "bacterial SSU rRNA". It matches the Rfam family "Bacterial small subunit ribosomal RNA", at positions 354 to 773 of the family's 1533-position model. The record is from RNAcentral.
GUGGGGAAUCUUGCACAAUGGGGGAAACCCUGAUGCAGCGACGCCGCGUGAACGAUGAAGCCCUUCGGGGUGUAAAGUUCUUUCGACAGGAACGAUAAUGACGGUACCUGGAGAAGAAGCUGCGGCUAACUACGUGCCAGCAGCCGCGGUAAUACGUAGGCAGCGAGCGUUGUUCGGAGUUACUGGGCGUAAAGAGUGCGUAGGCGGCGAGCCAAGUUUGGUGUGAAAUCUCCCGGCUUAACCGGGAGGGUGCGCCGAAAACUGGUUGGCUGGAGUAUGGGAGAGGAAAGCGGAAUUCCUGGUGUAGCGGUGAAAUGCGUAGAUAUCAGGAGGAACACCUGCGGUGUAGACAGCUUUCUGGACCAAAACUGACGCUGAGGCACGAAAGCGUGGGUAGCAAAC